RNAcentral lists this ribosomal RNA (927 nucleotides) under bacterium 127. RNAcentral describes it as "bacterial SSU rRNA". It matches the Rfam family "Bacterial small subunit ribosomal RNA", at positions 1 to 905 of the family's 1533-position model. The record is from RNAcentral.
UUAUAUAUAUGUUUUUUUCCCCCUGUCAGGAUGAACGCUGGCGGCGUGCCUAAUACAUGCAAGUCGAGCGAACAGACGAGGAGCUUGCUCCUUUGACGUUAGCGGCGGACGGGUGAGUAACACGUAGGUAACCUACCUAUAAGACUGGGAUAACUUCGGGAAACCGGAGCUAAUACCGGAUAAUAUUUCGAACCGCAUGGUUCGAUAGUGAAAGAUGGCUUUGCUAUCACUUAUAGAUGGACCUGCGCCGUAUUAGCUAGUUGGUAAGGUAACGGCUUACCAAGGCAACGAUACGUAGCCGACCUGAGAGGGUGAUCGGCCACACUGGAACUGAGACACGGUCCAGACUCCUACGGGAGGCAGCAGUAGGGAAUCUUCCGCAAUGGGCGAAAGCCUGACGGAGCAACGCCGCGUGAGUGAUGAAGGUCUUCGGAUCGUAAAACUCUGUUAUUAGGGAAGAACAAACGUGUAAGUAACUGUGCACGUCUUGACGGUACCUAAUCAGAAAGCCACGGCUAACUACGUGCCAGCAGCCGCGGUAAUACGUAGGUGGCAAGCGUUAUCCGGAAUUAUUGGGCGUAAAGCGCGCGUAGGCGGUUUUUUAAGUCUGAUGUGAAAGCCCACGGCUCAACCGUGGAGGGUCAUUGGAAACUGGAAAACUUGAGUGCAGAAGAGGAAAGUGGAAUUCCAUGUGUAGCGGUGAAAUGCGCAGAGAUAUGGAGGAACACCAGUGGCGAAGGCGACUUUCUGGUCUGUAACUGACGCUGAUGUGCGAAAGCGUGGGGAUCAAACAGGAUUAGAUACCCUGGUAGUCCACGCCGUAAACGAUGAGUGCUAAGUGUUAAGGGGGUUUCCGCCCCUUAGUGCUGCAGCUAACGCAUUAAGCACUCCGCCCGGGGGAGUACGACCGCAAGGUUGAACCAGAAA